Molecule: small nucleolar RNA, 89 nt
Organism: Coregonus clupeaformis (lake whitefish)
Lineage: Eukaryota; Metazoa; Chordata; Actinopteri; Salmoniformes; Salmonidae
Product: small nucleolar RNA SNORA47
Exons: 1
Source: RefSeq, a predicted model, not a curated record
CGGAGGACUGAGAAUGUGUAGCAGCUUGUUACGUGCUGUUAUAACAGGUUAUAACCUCCUAAAUGAAAAUAAGGCAGAUGCAACAACCA